This 217-nucleotide long non-coding RNA is filed under the name Malus domestica (apple). Its description in RNAcentral is "long non-coding RNA (MDOM_LNC013583)". Lineage: Eukaryota; Viridiplantae; Streptophyta; Magnoliopsida; Rosales; Rosaceae. The record is from RNAcentral.
AAUGUUGUCCAAGUCGUGACCGACAUGUUGGAAGUAUGCCCACAAAGCCACUCAUUUGAUGUAAUAGCUUUUGGAAUACUUAAUGUAUUAAACUAUUAAAUGUUUAAUGAAGGGCAAAGCUUAUUGUUAAUCACUAUUUAUUGUAUCAUGUGUUUAAGCAAUAAGAGAAUCCAAGGAAUGUAUUUGAUCUAAGAGAGAAGUGAUUUAAGUAAGUUAG